This 371-nucleotide ribosomal RNA is filed under the name uncultured bacterium. RNAcentral describes it as "bacterial SSU rRNA". It matches the Rfam family "Bacterial small subunit ribosomal RNA", at positions 527 to 896 of the family's 1533-position model. The record is from RNAcentral.
GGGGGGGGCAAGCGUUGUUCGGAAUUACUGGGCGUAAAGGGCUCGUAGGCGGCCAACUAAGUCGGAUGUGAAAUCCCCAGGCUUAACCUGGGAACUGCAUCCGAUACUGGAUGGCUUGAAUCCGGGAGAGGGAUGCAGAAUUCCAGGUGUAGCGGUGAAAUACGUAGAUAUCUGGAGGAAUACCGGUGGCGAAGGCGGCAUCCUGGACCGGCAUUGACGCUGAUGAGCGAAAGCUAGGGGAGCAAACGGGAUUAGAUACCCCGGUAGUCCUAGCCCUAAACGAUGAAUGCUUGGUGUGGCGGGUAUCGAUCCCUGCCGUGCCGAAGCUAACGCAUUAAGCAUUCCGCCUGGGGAGUACGGUCGCAAGGCUG